Molecule: ribosomal RNA, 484 nt
Filed under: uncultured bacterium
Lineage: Bacteria
Description: partial 16S ribosomal RNA
Rfam family: Bacterial small subunit ribosomal RNA
Source: RNAcentral
GAUGAACGCUGGCGGCGUGCUUAACACAUGCCAGUCGAACGGUGAAGCAGGAGCUUGCUCUUGUGGAUCAGUGGCGAACGGGUGAGUAACACGUGAGCAACCUGCCCCUGACACUGGGCUAAGCGCUGGAAACGGAGUCUAAUACUGGCUAGGUGAUGUUCCCGCAUGGUCUGCAGCUGGAAGGAAGUUCGGUUGGAGAUGGGCUGGCGGCCUAUCAGCUUGUUGGUGAGGUAAUGGCCCACCAAGGCGUCGACGGGUAGCCGGCCUGCGAGGGUGACCGGCCACACUGGGACUGAGACACGGCCCAGACUCCUACGGGGGGCAGCAGUGGGGAAUAUUGCACAAUGGGCGGAAGCCUGAUGCAGCAACGUCGCGUGAGGGAUGACGGCCUUCGGGUUGUAAACCUCUUUUAGCAGGGAAGAAGCGAAAGUGACGGUACCUGCAGAAAAAGCACCGGCUAACUACGUGCCAGCCGCCGCGGUAA